Molecule: microRNA precursor, 99 nt
Filed under: Mus pahari (shrew mouse)
Lineage: Eukaryota; Metazoa; Chordata; Mammalia; Rodentia; Muridae
Description: miRNA (MGP_PahariEiJ_G0007611.1)
Source: RNAcentral
AUUUUCUUAAUAUUAUUUAUAAACAAAAACUGUUUUGUAAGACGUGUUCUUUUGGUUUGUUUGUUUGUUUGUUUGUUUCGCUGAUGUAGCCAGAGAAUG